Rattus norvegicus (Norway rat) is the source of this 69-nucleotide non-coding RNA. NCBI's taxonomy places the organism in Eukaryota, Metazoa, Chordata, Mammalia, Rodentia, Muridae. The record is from Rfam.
GGGGAUUUAGCUCAGUGGUAGAGCGCUUGCCUAGGAAGCGCAAGGCCCUGGGUUCGAUGCCCAGCUCCG